Molecule: ribosomal RNA, 253 nt
Filed under: uncultured bacterium
Lineage: Bacteria
Description: partial 16S ribosomal RNA
Rfam family: Bacterial small subunit ribosomal RNA
Source: RNAcentral
UACAGAGGUCUCGAGCGUUAGGCGGAAUCACUGGGCUUAAAGCGUGUGUAGGUGGAUCGUUAAGUCCCUUGUGAAAUCCCACGGCUUAACCGUGGAACUGCUUGGUAUACUGGCGGUCUUGAGCCAGCUAGGGGCUACCGGAACAAAUGGUGGAGCGGUGAAAUGCGUAGAUAUCGGAAGGAACGCCGGUGGCGAAAGCGACGUGCUGGACCUCUUCUGACGCUGAGGCGCGAAAGCCAGGGGAGCAAACGGG